ACCGAUAGCUCAGUGGAUAGAGCAUCCGCCUUCUAAGCGGAUGGUCGCAGGUUCGAAUCCUGCUCGGUC
This 69-nucleotide transfer RNA is filed under the name Chlamydia suis. It matches the Rfam family "tRNA". From Rfam's summary of the family: Transfer RNA (tRNA) molecules are approximately 80 nucleotides in length. Their secondary structure includes four short double-helical elements and three loops (D, anti-codon, and T loops). RNAcentral also lists the same sequence under 1 other name. The record is from RNAcentral. Lineage: Bacteria; Pseudomonadati; Chlamydiota; Chlamydiia; Chlamydiales; Chlamydiaceae.